GACGAACGCUGGCGGCGUGCUUAACACAUGCAAGUCGAACGGAAAGGCCCUGCUUUUGUGGGGUGCUCGAGUGGCGAACGGGUGAGUAACACGUGAGUAACCUGCCCUUGACUUUGGGAUAACUUCAGGAAACUGGGGCUAAUACCGGAUAGGAGCUCCUGCUGCAUGGUGGGGGUUGGAAAGUUUCGGCGGUUGGGGAUGGACUCGCGGCUUAUCAUCUUGUUGGUGGGGUAGUGGCUUACCAAGGCUUUGACGGGUAGCCGGCCUGAGAGGGUGACCGGCCACAUUGGGACUGAGAUACGGCCCAGACUCCUACGGGAGGCAGCAGUGGGGAAUAUUGCACAAUGGGCGGAAGCCUGAUGCAGCAACGCCGCGUGCGGGAUGACGGCCUUCGGGUUGUAAACCGCUUUCGCCUGUGACGAAGCGUGAGUGACGGUAAUGGGUAAAGAAGCACCAGCUAACUACGUG
Molecule: ribosomal RNA, 468 nt
Filed under: uncultured bacterium
Lineage: Bacteria
Description: partial 16S ribosomal RNA
Rfam family: Bacterial small subunit ribosomal RNA
Source: RNAcentral